RNAcentral lists this ribosomal RNA (590 nucleotides) under uncultured Propionibacterium sp. RNAcentral describes it as "bacterial SSU rRNA". It matches the Rfam family "Bacterial small subunit ribosomal RNA", at positions 914 to 1501 of the family's 1533-position model. Lineage: Bacteria; Bacillati; Actinomycetota; Actinomycetes; Propionibacteriales; Propionibacteriaceae. The record is from RNAcentral.
CGGGGCCCCGCACAAGCGGCGGAGCAUGCGGAUUAAUUCGAUGCAACGCGUAGAACCUUACCUGGGUUUGACAUGGAUCGGGAGUGCUCAGAGAUGGGUGUGCCUCUUUUGGGGUCGGUUCACAGGUGGUGCAUGGCUGUCGUCAGCUCGUGUCGUGAGAUGUUGGGUUAAGUCCCGCAACGAGCGCAACCCUUGUUCACUGUUGCCAGCACGUUAUGGUGGGGACUCAGUGGAGACCGCCGGGGUCAACUCGGAGGAAGGUGGGGAUGACGUCAAGUCAUCAUGCCCCUUAUGUCCAGGGCUUCACGCAUGCUACAAUGGCUGGUACAGAGAGUGGCGAGCCUGUGAGGGUGAGCGAAUCUCGGAAAGCCGGUCUCAGUUCGGAUUGGGGUCUGCAACUCGACCUCAUGAAGUCGGAGUCGCUAGUAAUCGCAGAUCAGCAACGCUGCGGUGAAUACGUUCCCGGGGCUUGUACACACCGCCCGUCAAGUCAUGAAAGUUGGUAACACCCGAAGCCGGUGGCCUAACCGUUGUGGGGGAGCCGUCGAAGGUGGGACUGGUGAUUAGGACUAAGUCGUAACAAGGUAACC